GACGUAGGUGGCGAACGUUAUCCGGAAUUAUUGGGCGUAAAGGGUGCGUAGAUGGCCUGACAAGUUAGCAGUGGGAAAUCGAGGCUCAACCUCGUGGAAACUGAUAAUACUGUCUGGCUCGAGUACAGGAGAGGUUAACGGAACUCCAUGUGGAGCGGUAAAAUGUGUAGAUAUAUGGAAGAACACCAAUAACGGCGAAGGCAGUUAACUAUUCUGUUACUGACAUUGAGGCACGAAAGCGUGGGGAGCAAAACGG
Molecule: ribosomal RNA, 256 nt
Filed under: uncultured bacterium
Lineage: Bacteria
Description: partial 16S ribosomal RNA
Rfam family: Bacterial small subunit ribosomal RNA
Source: RNAcentral